This is a long non-coding RNA of Rosa rugosa (rugosa rose), 808 nucleotides long. RefSeq lists it as uncharacterized. The record is from RefSeq and is a predicted model, not a curated record. Lineage: Eukaryota; Viridiplantae; Streptophyta; Magnoliopsida; Rosales; Rosaceae. The transcript is spliced from 2 exons.
GUCUCUCCAUUUCCUUUCCAUUUUCCUUUCCAUCCUCUAGUUUCAAGUUUAGUCAUCUCCACGAGUUCAAGCAAGGCCAAAGAAGAAGAAGAGAAGCCGUGAGCACUUCCAUCCAUAGCCAUCCUUGAAGCUUGCUUUCGAGUUUCAAGAAUCCACAACGUGAAUCAUCCAUCUCAUCUUCAUCCACGGUGUGUACCCUCAAUCCCCGGAAUAGAACGAUCCCUAUUUGCUUAUACUACUAACGAUCUUUUCAGGGUUAAAUUAUGCGCUUGCUUUGAGCGUAUCAAUUUUUGGCGCCGUUGCCGGGGAAUUGAAAAAUCACUUGUUUUUGUUUAUAAUUGUUGUAUAUAAACUGUUUGAUACUUAGUUUAAAUUAACUAGGUUGUUUUUUUUUAUUGUUGAAUACGAGUUUAAUUGUGAGUUGUAAAUUAAAGAAGGAAUAGGUGAAGUCGUGUUUAUUAAUAUUGGCCUAAACCCCUUAUUGGUACCUAGUUCAGGUCCCUUAUGGUUGAGGGCGGCCUUUAUUAACAUUCAUUGAACUGUCUAACACACUUAGGACCUUUUACAUCCUAGUAAGAAUAUCCUAUGUGAGAUGGUGUCUAGGAAGGGGACAACGUUCAUGACGGGUUUUUGAAUCCAGAAGUGCUUAUAAAUGGGCUUAGCUCAUGCCAAAAUGGAUUUUUCCUCUCGUGUUCACCCUCCCCUACCUGGCCAUUUCAGUAAGGUUGCCCAACGGAUGUAGGAGGGACUUUGUGUCUAGACGACUAUACUUGGGCCGCACGUCCACUUGAUUUACCGCUUGGAAUUA